UACGUAGGGUGCGAGCGUUAAUCGGAAUUACUGGGCGUAAAGCGUGCGCAGGCGGUUUUGUAAGCCAGAUGUGAAAUCCCCGGGCUCAACCUGGGAAUGGCAUUUGGGACUGCAAGGCUCGAGUGCGGCAGAGGAGACUGGAAUUCCUGGUGUAGCAGUGAAAUGCGUAGAUAUCAGGAGGAAUACCGAUGGCGAAGGCAGGUCUCUGGGCUGACACUGACGCUGAGGAGCGAAAGCGUGGGGAGCGAACAGG
Molecule: ribosomal RNA, 253 nt
Filed under: uncultured bacterium
Lineage: Bacteria
Description: partial 16S ribosomal RNA
Rfam family: Bacterial small subunit ribosomal RNA
Source: RNAcentral